RNA transcript from Strigops habroptila (Kakapo), 2889 nucleotides. RefSeq lists it as uncharacterized. NCBI's taxonomy places the organism in Eukaryota, Metazoa, Chordata, Aves, Psittaciformes, Psittacidae. The record is from RefSeq and is a predicted model, not a curated record. The transcript has 2 exons.
GGGGCUCCGACCUCUGGGGCCGCAGCCGUAGCGCUGCCGGCAGCGCCCCCUGCCGGCGCCAGCAGAAAACGCUCCUCCCCCGGUACCGGCACCGGCUGCACCUCCGGGGCUCGGGGGGAGCCUGCGCGGGGCGGCCCGGCUCGGUGCGGGGUCCCGGCCCCCGCCAGCGCCCGGCCCUGCUCCUGCAUAACGUGUUAAGAUACUGUUUUUGCAGUCCGCCAUUAACCGACCGCGACUGUCCGAACGAGAUAACAAGAUGGCGGUCAAGGCGGGAAACUCUGUCAGGAGCCGGGUUAGCGGGUACAGCGCGCAACGAGCCCCCGGCCGUGCACACACCGCAACGUACCGGGCUGGGCACGCAGCGGAGCGAGCUCUCGAGUGGGAGCGGAGGGAGCUGCGGACAGGGGCGGGACUCCACGGGGGGUGUGCGGGCGCCCCGGAUAGGCUCGAGCCUGGGAGCACCCAACCAGUGGGGAACAAGGGAGGGACUUUGCGGGAUAAAGGGAAGAACUUUGUAGUCGUUGGGUGUGUUUACUUACCAGGACACCCGUUUUUGCAAAUGCAUUUAAUAAAUCGCUGCUUCGCUGCUGUGUCUGACCUGAGUGUUUGCAAGAGUGUUUGAGUUCUGACAGCUCGUUGGGGGUGAAGUUGUCAUCGAGGGGACCUCCGCCGCCGAAGGACGGUGGGACGCGUCCCAUUGGUUCCAACGCAGCUUCUGCAGCUGCUGACCUGAGACCGUUUGUAUAAGGUGGACCCGGUGAACCAGAGGGGAAAAAGAGAAGGAAAAAGUAGUUUUUCCAUCUGUCAGUGACCAGCCAACUCCGUGCACGGACCAAGAAACAAAGGACUCCGCGCUCAAACGCCACCCUUGGAAUUCACGGUCCAUUCCAUUCAACCAGGGGACCGGAUACUGAUCAAGUCAUGGAAGGACUUUAAACUACAGCCUGGAUGGGACGGCCCGUUACCGGUCUUGUUGACCACUGACACUGCUGUGAGGACUGCCAAAAGAGGUUGGACACACUCUGUGAGGAUCAAAGGACCGGUGGAACUCCCAGCUGAAGACGGGCAGUGGCGUGACAACCAACUGAGAACCUCCUGUAUAUUAAGAUAAAGAGACAAUAAGCAUUCACUCUUGCUUCCAAACACUUGCAAGAACCUUUAUAAGAUUAUUUUGUACUUUUGCUGUAUUUGCUGUGCUGAAAACAUAGGGUUUGGGGAUAAAAGAGAAGGGGGGGGCUGAUUAGCAAAAAACCUAAAAAUGUGGAAGGUCAUAGUGCUAAUGAACUUAUAUCUAUUAGGAAUUGAAGGCAAAAGUUUGGAACAAGAAGCCUAUGUUGAGCAAAUGAGAGGGUUGCUGGGAUAUCCAGUCAAAUUGUGGAUAAAUAUUACUAAGGCACACAAUCCGCAAACUAUCCAAUUUGACGCCUGUCAGGUACUCACGUGUGGAGAUCUAAAAGAGCAAAGGAAGUUAAGCAGUCACGAUAAAUACUUAUGCCCAGAGUAUUACCUCCAACCAUACUGGGGACCGCCUUGUCCCGGGUGGAGUGAUGUUUGGUUUACAACUGCCUUUAAUGGGUGGGUCUCACCCAGUGCUCGGGGGAAAUCUCUAAAAAGUAAAAUUGCAAUGUUUAAAGGUCACGUGGAACCUGACUGUAAGGAUUUAGAAUGCAAUCCCAUAAUACUUACCAUUACAAAUGCUGAUGGGGAAGUAAGCCAAACUUACGGCCUAGGGGCGGAUGUCACAGGAAAAGAUCCGCUUGCUCGAUUUAGGAUCGUAGUUUGGGAACCAAAGAGAAAUGAACAUACCCAAACUCCAGGCACUACCGUUCCUCCAGCAGCAGAAGCAGGGACUCCACCAAAUACUCGUAAGGUAGAAAAGGUGAAAGAUUUGAAGCGCCCAUCUGAAACAGAAGCAGGAUAUGGAGAUACCAAUACCGGGGUAGAACUGAUCAAAUAUAGAGUGAAAAGCUUAAAUAGAAGCAAUUGUGAUGCAUGCGCUUCGGGGCGACCUACAGCACAGGUAGUCCCUUUUCCUUUAGGAUGGAGUAAGGAUGCACAAGGAAUGAGGUGUAUGAUCGCAUUGUACCAGGAAAGGACUGCAUGGGGAAGCGAAGCCUGUAAGUCCCUUUCUCUGCUGUUCCCUGCACUACGGAAGAAGGAUAUCAAGGUACCCCCCACCUUCUCCGUGGCAGCUGGUAACCAUACAGCUUGUCUCUCACGGCAGGGUGUGGGUGCUACCAAAGAUCUCGGACAGCUGGAGAUGUGCACGGAAUUGCUAAACGUGGCUGAGGAGGAAACGGGUAAUUACUCAGCUCUGAGCAUCCCCAGAACGGACCUGUGGUGGUAUUGUGGAGGGAGAGUCUUGAGACCCACGCUUCCUCCAAAUUGGAAAGGCACGUGUGCGAUUGUCCAGUUGGCCAUUCCGUUUACUUUGGCAUUUGAGAAGGGAACAGUACCUUAAAAUUUAUGCGAAAAGCAAAUAUUCAAACAAAAAGGGUGAAUUGUAAAAAGUAUUAAGAUGCUGUUUUUGCCAUCGGCCAUUAACCAAACGUAGCUGUCAGAACACGAUGGCAAGGCGGGAAGCUCUGGCAGGAGCUGGGUUUGUGGUUACAGCUCAUAACAAGUUCAGCAAUGUGCAGAAACCAUAACAUAAAAGGAGGUUAGCAAAGAAGGGGAGCAGGCUCUCGAAUUAGAGUAGGGGGAGAUGCAGAGAGGGGCAGGACUUCACGUGGGAUGUUGGAUAGUACCCAACCAGUGGGAAACAAGGGAGGAACUUUGCAGUCGCGGAUAGGGAAUAAAGGGAAGAACUUUGUAGCCAUUGGGUGUGUUUACUUACCAGGACACCUGUUUUUGCAAAAGCAUUUAAUAAAUCGCUGCUUCACUGCUGUG